This 253-nucleotide ribosomal RNA is filed under the name uncultured bacterium. RNAcentral describes it as "partial 16S ribosomal RNA". It matches the Rfam family "Bacterial small subunit ribosomal RNA", at positions 524 to 776 of the family's 1533-position model. The record is from RNAcentral.
UACGAAGGGGACUAGCGUUGUUCGGAAUUACUGGGCGUAAAGCGCACGUAGGCGGAUUUGUUAGUCAGGGGUGAAAUCCCGGGGCUCAACCUCGGAACUGCCUUUGAUACUGCAAGUCUCGAGUCCGAUAGAGGUGGGUGGAAUUCCUAGUGUAGAGGUGAAAUUCGUAGAUAUUAGGAAGAACACCGGUGGCGAAGGCGGCCCACUGGAUCGGUACUGGCGCUGAGGUGCGAAAGCGUGGGGAGCAAACAGG